CAACAAGAAGGUAGACGAUGGUUAGUCUAUCUGCAGCUGCUCCCGCUUACUGAGGGGAAAAGAGAAGACUUCCCCUUGUAACCUGGCUGGGAGCCUUCCCAAGCCCCUGAAGGCCCCCAUUAGCUGCCCACCUCCUGCUUGAAACACGCCGCAGAACAUCUGGAAGCCCUAGGAGGCCGUUUCUUUGACAACCUUCGAUUUAAAAGCUCAUGGAAAUUCUUGCUCCAACUGCUGUGACGU
Molecule: long non-coding RNA, 240 nt
Filed under: Homo sapiens (human)
Lineage: Eukaryota; Metazoa; Chordata; Mammalia; Primates; Hominidae
Description: non-protein coding lnc-RYBP-5:1
Source: RNAcentral